Long non-coding RNA from Oreochromis niloticus (Nile tilapia), 534 nucleotides. RefSeq lists it as uncharacterized. The transcript has 4 exons. NCBI's taxonomy places the organism in Eukaryota, Metazoa, Chordata, Actinopteri, Cichliformes, Cichlidae. The record is from RefSeq and is a predicted model, not a curated record.
UCUCAUUGAUUAAUUAUUGAUGAUUAAUUAACCCUCCACAUGAUUUAACCUCUAUAGAGAUGAUAUUUUAUCUAGAUCAUGUAUUUUUCAAAGGUUCAGACCAGAAAGUUUAACAUUAUUAUUUUUCUCUUUAUUGUCUCUCAGAUUGAGUGUCUGUAAUCUCUCAGAGAGAAGCUGUGAAACUCUGUCUUCACUACUCAGCUCCCAGCACUCUAGUUUGAGACAGCUUGACCUGAGUAACAAUGACCUGAAGGACUCUGGAGUGAAAGUUUUGUCUUCUGGACUGAAAAAUCCAUAUUGUGAACUGGAAACACUCAGGCUGUCAGGCUGCCUGAUCACAGAGGAAGGUUGCAAGUCUCUGGUCUCAGCUUUUAGCUCCAGUUCUUCCCAUCUGAAAGAGCUGGACCUGAGCUACAAUAACCCAGGAGAGGCAGGAGUGAAGAUGCUUGAGCAGCUAAGACUGGACACUCUGAGGGUGGAGCCUGCUGGAGUCCGAUGGUUGAGACCAGGUCUGAGGAAGUAUUCCUGUCAACU